RNAcentral lists this ribosomal RNA (357 nucleotides) under uncultured bacterium. Its description in RNAcentral is "bacterial SSU rRNA". It matches the Rfam family "Bacterial small subunit ribosomal RNA", at positions 162 to 507 of the family's 1533-position model. The record is from RNAcentral.
CUAACUACCCUAUACGCUAUUCUUUUUUACGAAAAGGAUAGGAAAGGCCGGGUCGAGGACCUGGUACUCAAGGGAGGGGCUCAUGUCCUAUCAGCUUGUUGGUGGGGUAACGGCCUACAAGGCUACGACGGGUAGCUGGUCUGAGAGGAUGAUCAGCCACACUGGCACUGAGAGUACGGGCCAGACUCCUACGGGAGGCAGCAGUGAGGAAUUAUUGCGCAAGUGGGACGAAAGCCUGACGCAGCGACGCCGCGUGGGGGAUGAAGGUUUUCGGAUUGUAAACCCCUUUCAUGAGGAAAGAUAAAGUGGGUAACCACUUAGACGGUACCUCAAGAAGAAGCCACGGCUAACUUCGUG